This 237-nucleotide long non-coding RNA is filed under the name Brassica napus (rape). Its description in RNAcentral is "long non-coding RNA (BNAP_LNC004777)". The record is from RNAcentral. Lineage: Eukaryota; Viridiplantae; Streptophyta; Magnoliopsida; Brassicales; Brassicaceae.
CAAAGGCUCCAAACCUCUUUGAAAAUCAUCAUAUGUUAGUGCAGGAUGCAACUAGGCAUUAAAACAAUAUUGUCAUAUUUUUUGAAAUUUUCUCAUAAUCUAUCGGCUAACCCCUGCAAAAAUAUUGAGUUUUUGGUAAAUACUUUGUAUACUGAAGCCUAUAAUCUUUAAUGUUGUUUUAAAAUUUAUACCAUAUUCUACAUUUGUAUUAAUGUAUGCUAAACUCUUUUUCAUGGU